Long non-coding RNA from Phyllostomus discolor (pale spear-nosed bat), 3124 nucleotides. RefSeq lists it as uncharacterized. Lineage: Eukaryota; Metazoa; Chordata; Mammalia; Chiroptera; Phyllostomidae. The transcript is spliced from 2 exons. The record is from RefSeq and is a predicted model, not a curated record.
CCAGUAGGGGUGGGCCAUCCUCACCGGGUCCUUCUGGACGGAGGGUUCCAGCUCCUGAGCUGAAGUGUUGGAGAGGCCAGCGGUCUGGCCCGGCGGAGGGCCUCCCCACUCGCGGGUUUCACUACCGGGGCUGGCCGUCGCCGGUCACCCUCCGCCUGGCGGCCUUUGCCGGGAGGGCUCUCUCGAAUUCUGAUUUCAUUCUCUGGGCCUCGCCGUAGCUUGUCUUCUUCCCUCAGCCUGCCUCUAAGGAUUUUUCCUUAUCCUUGCUCUCUUCGAGUUACAGCAGUUGGAAACCUUUGACCCAAAGCUUUGGCGCUUGGCAUUAAAGUAACUGUAAAGAUUUUUAGUUCUGCUGGGUCUAGGGGCUUGGGUUUCCUUUGGACCCUACAUUCAAAAAUAAGUGGAAAAUUAAAGUCAGUUGCCCAGAAAGGAUCCUUUGGGUCUCUCCUAUUAGGUUAUUAAAUAUGCUUGUUUCUUCAUUUAGAAACAAAAUACAAAUCUCACUAACCUAUCUCUGACCUCCCAGUCAUUUCUCAACCCACUUCCAUCCCAAUAGAUUUUGUUAUGGUUACUAAAUCCAAGGGACUCUUCAAUUCUGAUCUUUCCUGACCUCUCAGCUGCAUUCCAGGGUGUUGACCACUUUCUUUUCUGAAGCUUUCUGUUCUCUCCUGACUUCUGGGAUACAGAAUUCCUGUUGUUCCCCCCCCCCCCCCCCCCCCCCCCCACACACACACACUUCUGUUCGUCUUUUUGUGUCCCAUGCAGACUGUUCUUCCUGGGACAGCACAUGUAGUAGUCCUGGGCUCUACCCUAAUGCUUCAUUUUCCGUUCUGUGUUCUUUCUUCAUCCUUGCCUACCCACACUCUCAGCUUCAGUUGCCACCUAUAUACAUACAGCUUGUGGACUUAUGUCUCAGAUUUUGCAUCUGAGAUCUAGUUCAGAUCUAUGUAUCCCACUAUUUAGUUAACAUCUCCUGAGAAGCUUUUCCCUACUGGGGUUCCUCAAAGCCACCUCAGUUUGUCCAAAAUAGAACUCAUGCUCUUUCCCCUCAAACCUUAGUGAAAGAUAGCACUAUUUAGUCUGCUCCUUUGUAGUAAAGAGUGAGUGGGCUGGAGGUCAGGUUGCUGGGAUGGAUCCUGGCUACACUAAUCUCUAGGGAAGAUACUUAACUUCUCUAAGCCUUAGUUUCUUGCAAAAUGGUGAUAAUAAUACCCAUCUUAUGGGAUUGUUUUGAGCAUAAAGGGGAUCUGCAUGAAAGGCAUAGCACAGUAUUUUUCUCACAGUGUUUUAACACACAUUAACUAUUACUAGCAUUAUUCACCUACUUCUCUUUAUCAUCAUCAGCCUGUCUAGGCUGCUUUUCACUCUCACCUGACCUAGUCUUGUCAGUUAACUAGUCUUGCUCUAUUCAUCACGGCUGUCUGCCUGUUUCUUGCAUGCCAAUCUGAUCAUGUUUUCUGUACCCACUCCCCACUGCCCCCUUGUUUAAAAUACCUUAGUAGCUUUCCUUUGCUCAUAGGAUGGAGACCAAAAUACUUAAUGUGACCCACUGGGCCCUAUGUGGUCCAGCUCCUAUCAGUCUCCUUGUGUACCAUGUUUCUGCUCCUUUUCUGUGCUCGAGUCACACUGGCCUGUCAUUAUCUUCGAUGUGCCAUGCUCACUUUAAUCAAGGAGUCUUUGCAUAGGUAGUUUCGGUUCUUCAGAUGCCUUUUUCAGGCAAGCCUCCUGUGACCAUGCUGUUUUUCACUAGUCAUAAGUUCUUAUUUUCCUGUGUCUCUUCUUCCUAGCUUUUGCCACAGGUACAAACAGGUAUUCAUUUUUUCCCCUGAUUCUUUUGAUGUAGGUCUGCUCUCUACUAGAAUGUAUUAUAAGCUCCUUUAGGGUAGACCUGUAUUUUUUAUUUACAGCCAUGUACCGCUUAAUGACAGGGAUACAUCCUGAGAAAUGUGCUAGGCAAUUUCAUUGUGUGAAGCACAUAGCAUACACUUACGCAGACCUAGAUGUUACAGCCUACUACACAUCUAGGCUACAUGUGUAUAACCAUCCCAUUGCUCCUAGGAUACAAACCUGUACAGCAUGUUACUGUACUGAAUACUGUAGGCAGUUGUAAGACAAUGUAAGUAGUUGCGUAUCUAAAUAUAGAAAAAGUACAGUAAAAAUAAGGUAUAAAAGAUAAAAUGGGCUCGUCCCAUAAGUGACCCGAAGUGACCUCUGAAUUCACCAUGUACUUGACCCAGAAAACCCCACAAAUCAGGAGGUUCAAAUCUUUGUGUUUACUUCAAGAACACUCAUGAAACUGCCCAGGCUAUGAAGGCAUGCAGAGCUGCAAAGCCACCAGUAUUUGAAGGAUGUCACUUUACAGAAGCAAUGUGUACCCUUCCACUGUUACAGUAGUGGCACUGGUAGGUGUGCUCAGGCCAAACAGUGGGGCUGGACCCAGGGUUACUGACCCAAAGACAGUGCUGAAUUUUUGCUGCACAUGCUUAAAAAUGCAGAGAGUAAUGCUGAGGUUAAGGGUUUAGAUGUAGAUUCACUGGUCAUUGAGGACAUCCAGGUGAACAAACCUCCCAAGAUGUGGUACAGAACUUACAGAGCUUAUGGGUGGAUUAGCCCGUACUUGAGCUCUCCUUGCCACACAGAGAUGAUCCUUCUUGAAAAAGCAGAUUUUUCUCAAACCAGAAGAGGAGGUUGCACAGAAGAAAAAGAUACCCCAGAAGAAACCAAAGAAAAAACGUGUAGCCUGGGCAUAAAUUCAGAAGAAAAUAAAUACUAAUAAAAGUUUAAAAAAAAAAGAUACUGUAGUACAUCUAUGUAGGGCUCUUACCAUGAAUGGAGCAAUCAGGACUGGAUGUUGCUCUGGGUGAGUUAGUAAGUGAGUGGUGAAUGAAUGUGAAGGCCUAGAAUACUGCUGUACACUACUGUGGAAUUGAUAAACACUAUACAGUUAGGGCCAAAUUUUUAAAACAACAUGAAAUUAAGUCAAGCACAAGAGAAAAUGAUGCAAUCAAGAUAUGCUUUGAACAUGAGGUGUAUGAAGCUGCUGCCAGCAUAGAGUGGCAUACUGUUUUAUAGCAAACUGUUGUAAGUAGAAAGAGUACACUCUGAAGUAACAAGAAGUGUAGUA